UACAGAGGGUGCAAGCGUUAAUCGGAAUUACUGGGCGUAAAGCGCGCGUAGGCGGUUUGUUAAGUCGGAUGUGAAAUCCCUGGGCUCAACCUAGGCACUGCAUCCGAUACUGGCUGACUAGAGUGUGGGAGAGGAAGGUAGAAUUCCAGGUGUAGCGGUGAAAUGCGUAGAGAUCUGGAGGAAUACCGAUGGCGAAGGCAGCCUUCUGGCCUAACACUGACGCUGAGGUGCGAAAGCAUGGGGAGCAAACAGGAUUAGAUACCCUGGUAGUCCAUGCUGUAAACGAUGUCAACUAGCCGUUGGGGUCUUUAAGACUUUAGUGGCGUAGCUAACGCGAUAAGUUGACCGCCUGGGGAGUACGGUCGCAAGACUAAAACUCAAAUGAAUUGACGGGGGCCCGCACAAGCGGUGGAGCAUGUGGUUUAAUUCGAUGCAACGCGAAGAACCUUACCUGGCCUUGACAUGUCUGGAAUCCUGCAGAGAUGCGGGAGUGCCUUCGGGAAUCAGAACACAGGUGCUGCAUGGCUGUCGUCAGCUCGUGUCGUGAGAUGUUGGGUUAAGUCCCGCAACGAGCGCAACCCUUAUCCUUAUUUGCCAGCACGUAAUGGUGGGAACUCUAAGGAGACUGCCGGUGACAAACCGGAGGAAGGCGGGGACGACGUCAAGUCAUCAUGGCCCUUACGGCCAGGGCUACACACGUGCUACAAUGGUCGGUACAAAGGGUUGCUAACCUGCGAAGGGGUGCUAAUCUCAAAAAGCCGAUCGUAGUCCAGAUUGGAGUCUGCAACUCGACUCCAUGAAGUCGGAAUCGCUAGUAAUCGCAGAUCAGAAUGCUGCGGUGAAUACGUUCCCGGGCCU
RNAcentral lists this ribosomal RNA (858 nucleotides) under uncultured bacterium. RNAcentral describes it as "bacterial SSU rRNA". It matches the Rfam family "Bacterial small subunit ribosomal RNA", at positions 524 to 1381 of the family's 1533-position model. The record is from RNAcentral.